CCCUCGCUACGAGCAGGGCGCUGGGUGGGCCUCCGCAAAGCGGCGGAGCGGAAGAAACUUGGGCCCGCCCAUCUGCUCCUGCAGCACUGCGUCCCCCUCACUUCCUCUCUGGUCUUUUUCUCUGUUUUCCCCGGGUCUGCCUAUCGGCUCCCCAGCCCCCACAAGCCCAUACGCAGCGUGAAGAUGCGAGCCAUGGCAUCUCCUGACUUAAAGGUCAUCCGCCCCAUCCUCCCACUGCUGCUCGAACCGUAUGCUUAACACGUAGGGCUGCAGUCGCUGCUUAGGAUUCCUGAUUGUCAUCUGUGGGAUGGUUAACGUGACUUUGUCGUUCAUUUCAUUCUUCCUUCACAAGCAUCCUGGAACCCAAAGAGAUAGGAAACUGAGGACAUUCGUGCAGGUGUUUUAAAGAACAGCAACGGGGAGAUUUGGCAUCCGAUAGGUGAAACUGUCCCCCACGAUUACUCCAUACACUGAGACUCCUUCAAAAGAGAUACACCAGGCUGACGUAAACGCACAGAAGCAGGAACAUGUAAUGCCCACAGCCGAGACUCUUUUUCUUCCUAUCCCACGUGGGUCCGAUUAAAUGCCAAGGGUCCUGGGGAGUCCACAGUGCAACUAUGGAAUCAGACAGGAUAUCCCAGGAUUACCUCCUGGUGAACGCUGGAAACCUGAGAUGAUGAAUAAGGCUGUGAGCCUUCUAUGAGUAUCUUUGCAAAUAUGAGUGAAACUGAAGCUGUGUAAGAUAUUCCACAUGGGUUAAAUGAAAACUAAGGGAGUGUUUGCAUCCAUAUGUUGUAUGUGUGUAUGUGUCGAAUUAUUUCGGCCCCUGGAGGAUAUAAAAAUUGGUAUAUAUAGGGCCUCCCUGGUGGUGCAGGGGUUAAAGUCUCAGCAUUAUCAAGCUAUCACCAGGCAUGAGUUCCAUCCCCAGCCAGGGAGCAACCCACAUGGUGCAGCAGACCUCUCCUGUCUCACUCUCUGCUCCCCUCAGCAGUGUAUUUCAAUUGAUCCACCUGAAACUGCUCCCCACUGUGUCUCUGAUGAAUCCUCUCACCCCCCCUGCAACUCUGGCCUGUGCCCCAGUUCUUGUAUGCAUAAAUAAAUAAAAAUAAAUCUUUUUUAAAAACUGAUAUAUACCGUGCCUGUAGAAAUUUUAAGUUGAGAAAUAUAAUGGAAAUUAGUACAAGUGGUUCCAGGAAGCGCUGUCUGGGAUAAGCAUUGUUUGAAUUGAUGAGAAAACUAAUUUGGAAUUUAAUGGUUUGGGCUUGAAACAUGUAUGUCUUUGAAGUUGUAUAAUUAAAUGUAAUGAUUUUCUCUUUACCUGUGUCAUUUGUGUACAUGUCACACAACAAUAAACAGAAUAAGGUGAACUGAAGUAUGUAAAUGCCAAGUAAUAUGGGAGUUGUGAAAUAAAGAGUUUUUUGAAGGUCCGUCUGAUGUUCUCCUUCCUUACAAUAAGCACACUGGUUUUUCCUUAAAAGUUUCCUUAUCGUCCUUUCUCUCCCCAUCACUUCCCUCUUAUUACAAAACUCUGUUCUGUCUUCUCCCUACAAAAUAUAGAUGCCAAAACCAAAAUGAUACAGAUACUGAGUUAUCGGAUAUGAAUUUUUGUUAUGAUAAAAAUGCUUCAAGAAACAAUGACAAAAAUUCUUGAAACAAAAAUAUAGAUGAGAACUAUAGAACCAUAAUUCUAUAUUUACUAAAAAAAAUUGCCCAAUAAUGAAGAAGGAAUAAAGACAGUCUGCUCAAGAAAACAUAGGGGAAUUUGUCUUUAACAGACCCACCCACAAAAAAAACUAAAGGAAGUACCAAAAUAAGAAAUGAUCAAGAAGGAAUCUUAGCACAUUAUGAAGGAAGAAAAAGCAAUGAAUUGAAAAAAAUGGGUAUAGUAGAUUACCUUUCUUUUUUUUUUUAAGAUUUAUUUACGCAUACAAGAACUGGGGUACAGGCCAGAGGUGUGGGGGUAAAAGGAUUCACCAGAGACAGAGAGGAGAGCAGAACAGGCAGACUGACUGAAAUACAUUGCU
Molecule: long non-coding RNA, 2024 nt
Organism: Talpa occidentalis (Iberian mole)
Lineage: Eukaryota; Metazoa; Chordata; Mammalia; Eulipotyphla; Talpidae
Exons: 4
Source: RefSeq, a predicted model, not a curated record